CUCGCUGUAGUUAAAUGGAUAUAACAGGCCCCUCCUAAGGGCCAAUUGAUGGUUCAAUUCCAUCCAGCGAGA
This 72-nucleotide transfer RNA is filed under the name Bordetella sp. Its description in RNAcentral is "tRNA-Arg". It matches the Rfam family "tRNA". Rfam says of the family: Transfer RNA (tRNA) molecules are approximately 80 nucleotides in length. The record is from RNAcentral. Lineage: Bacteria; Pseudomonadati; Pseudomonadota; Betaproteobacteria; Burkholderiales; Alcaligenaceae.